AUUAAUCUUCCUUGUCAGUAAGGACGGAGAGCAGAAGCAGCCGGGCUGCACAUUAUGACACUCAGGCCUCCAGAAUCGUCGCUCUGCUACCACAUGAAGUGCUGCAGCAGCUAAAACCAUGCACCCAUAGCAGAGGCUACAAGGGAGUGAGGGAGCAACUGUAACAAUAUCCUGGCAGAAUAGACAAGGAACCUAUGAGAUCCUGAAAUGGAUAUAAUGUGGGAUGAAGAAGGCGAGAUGGAACACUGUAUUCCUGACUG
Molecule: long non-coding RNA, 260 nt
Organism: Hyla sarda
Lineage: Eukaryota; Metazoa; Chordata; Amphibia; Anura; Hylidae
Exons: 3
Source: RefSeq, a predicted model, not a curated record